RNAcentral lists this ribosomal RNA (481 nucleotides) under uncultured Desulfobacteraceae bacterium. RNAcentral describes it as "bacterial SSU rRNA". It matches the Rfam family "Bacterial small subunit ribosomal RNA", at positions 29 to 481 of the family's 1533-position model. The record is from RNAcentral. Lineage: Bacteria; Pseudomonadati; Thermodesulfobacteriota; Desulfobacteria; Desulfobacterales; Desulfobacteraceae.
AAUGAACGCUGGCGGCGUGCUUAACACAUGCAAGUCGCACGAGAACUCUUUAGCUUGCUAAAGAUAGUAAAGUGGCGCACGGGUGAGUAUCGCGUGGGUAAUCUGCCUCUGAAUCUGGGAUAACAUUGCGAAAGCGAUGCUAAUACCGGAUAAUAUCUUUUAAACUUCGGUUUUUAAGAUCAAAGGUGACCUCUAUAUAUAAGUUGCUGUUUGGAGAUGAGCCCGCGUACCAUUAGCUUGUUGGUGGGGUAAUGGCCUACCAAGGCCGCGAUGGUUAGCUGAUCUGAGAGGAUGAUCAGCCACACUGGAACUGACACACGGUCCAGACUCCUACGGGAGGCAGCAGUGAGGAAUUUUGCGCAAUGGGGGAAACCCUGACGCAGCAACGCCGCGUGAGUGAUGAAGGCUUUCGGGUCGUAAAGCUCUGUCAAGUGGGAAGAACAUGUUUGAUGUUAAUACCAUCUUACACUGACGGUACCAC